This 484-nucleotide ribosomal RNA is filed under the name uncultured bacterium. RNAcentral describes it as "partial 16S ribosomal RNA". It matches the Rfam family "Bacterial small subunit ribosomal RNA", at positions 30 to 507 of the family's 1533-position model. The record is from RNAcentral.
AUUGAACGCUGGCGGCAGGCCUAACACAUGCAAGUCGAGCGGAUGAAGGGAGCUUGCUCCUGGAUUCAGCGGCGGACGGGUGAGUAAUGCCUAGGAAUCUGCCUGGUUUUGGUGGAUAACGUCCGGAAACGGGCGCUAAUACCGCAUACGUCCUGAGGGAGAAAGUGGGGGUUCUUCGGACCUCACGCUAUCAGAUGAGCCUAGGUCGGAUUAGCUAGUUGGUGGGGUAAAGGCCUACCAAGGCGACGAUCCGUAACUGGUCUGAGAGGAUGAUCAGUCACACGGGAACUGAGACACGGUCCAGACUACUACGGGAGGCAGCAGUGGGGAAUAUUGGACAAUGGGCGAAAGCCUGAUCCAGCAAUGCCGCGUGUGUGAAGAAGGUCUUCGGAUUGUAAAGCACUUUAAGUUGGGAGGAAGGGAAGUAAGUUAAUACCUUGCUGUUUUGACGUUACCAACAGAAUAAGCACCGGCUAACUUCGUG